AGUGCCAUCCGCCCAAAUCUACAGACAUCCCGCGUGUUCCCGGGCUGUCCGCUCGUCUCCCCUAUACAGGGCGCCAAGGCUGUAGACUGCGCAGCCCUUCUAGAGACAGACGGAAGCUCCGUGGGUUGACAGAUUACACCUUCUGGAGCCCCCUGUUCCCUUCAACUCCGUGAUGGGCAUCCACUGUCCAGGGAGAGGAUGCCUGGAAAUGACAGCCGGGGUCUACAGUGGCCAUAAGAGUUGUCCCCAUCUUGCUAGAUCGACAGACUGGUGCCCCCGAAUGAGGACUGUGCCCUGGGACAGGGGAUAUGGUAUAGUUGGAAGUUUGUGAAGCCGCUUGGGAAGGGUUUUCUCUCCGCCCUGUGACAACAGGCAAGAGUGGGGGCCCAACAAUACAGAGUAAGUGAUGUGUCACUUCUACUCUUCCAUGCCCAGUGCCAGGAGAGACGGUACACUCGAGUGCUGUGCCCUGGUGGGCCUUUGAACAGCCAGUGGCAGGUGCAGUGGAUCAUCAGCCCUGUCUCCCAAGAGCC
Molecule: long non-coding RNA, 533 nt
Filed under: Mus pahari (shrew mouse)
Lineage: Eukaryota; Metazoa; Chordata; Mammalia; Rodentia; Muridae
Description: lncRNA (MGP_PahariEiJ_G0012420.1)
Source: RNAcentral